GAAUAUUGGACAAUGGGCGAAAGCCUGAUCCAGCCAUGCCGCGUGUGUGCAGAAGGUCUUCGGAUUGUAAAGCACUUUAAGUUGGGAGGAAGGGCAGUAAGUGAAUACCUUGCUGUUUUGACGUUACCGACAGCAUAAGACACGGCUAACUCUGUGCCGACAGCCGCGGUAAUACAGAGGGUGCAACCGUUAAUCGGAAUUACUGGGCGUAAAGCGCGCGUAGGUGGUUCGUUAAGUGGGAUUUGAAAUCCCCGGGCGCAACCUGGGAACUGCAUCCAAAACUGGCGAGCUAGAGUAGGGCAGAGGGUGGUGGAAUUUCCUGUGUAGCGGUGAAAUGCGUAGAUAUAGGAAGGAACACCAGUGGCGAAGGCGACCACCUGGGCUCAUACUGACACUGAGGUGCGAAAGCGUGGGGAGCAAACAGG
RNAcentral lists this ribosomal RNA (425 nucleotides) under uncultured bacterium. RNAcentral's name for it is "partial 16S ribosomal RNA". It matches the Rfam family "Bacterial small subunit ribosomal RNA", at positions 359 to 776 of the family's 1533-position model. The record is from RNAcentral.